CAGCAGCCGCGGUAAUACGUAGGUGGCAAGCGUUGUCCGGAAUUAUUGGGCGUAAAGGGCUCGCAGGCGGUUUCUUAAGUCUGAUGUGAAAGCCCCCGGCUCAACCGGGGAGGGUCAUUGGAAACUGGGAAACUUGAGUGCAGAAGAGGAGAGUGGAAUCCCACGUGUAGCGGUGAAAUGCGUAGAGAUGUGGAGGAACACCAGUGGCGAAGGCGACUCUCUGGUCUGUAACUGACGCUGAGGAGCGAAAGCGUGGGGAGCGAACAGGAUUAGAUACCCCUGUAGUCCCUGUCUCUUAUAC
RNAcentral lists this ribosomal RNA (301 nucleotides) under uncultured bacterium. RNAcentral's name for it is "partial 16S ribosomal RNA". It matches the Rfam family "Bacterial small subunit ribosomal RNA", at positions 509 to 807 of the family's 1533-position model. The record is from RNAcentral.